UACAGAGGGGGCAAGCGUUGUUCGGAAUUACUGGGCGUAAAGGGCGCGUAGGCGGCCUGUUAAGUCGAACGUGAAAUCCCCGGGCUCAACCCGGGAACUGCGUCCGAUACUGGCAGGCUUGAAUUCGGGAGAGGGAUGUGGAAUUCCAGGUGUAGCGGUGAAAUGCGUAGAUAUUCGGAAGAACACCAGUGGCGAAGGCGACUUACUGGACACAUAUUGACGCUGAGGUGCGAAAGCGUGGGGAGCAAACAGG
RNAcentral lists this ribosomal RNA (253 nucleotides) under uncultured bacterium. Its description in RNAcentral is "partial 16S ribosomal RNA". It matches the Rfam family "Bacterial small subunit ribosomal RNA", at positions 524 to 776 of the family's 1533-position model. The record is from RNAcentral.